This is a non-coding RNA of Claviceps lovelessii, 97 nucleotides long. Lineage: Eukaryota; Fungi; Ascomycota; Sordariomycetes; Hypocreales; Clavicipitaceae. The record is from the annotation of a GenBank genome assembly.
GGGCGAAUGGUUUAGUGGUAUAAUACUCCCUUAGCAUCAUCCGAGUUUCUGGUUCUGCGCUUGGGAGUGGUCCGGGGUUCGAUUCCCCGUUUGUCCA